AAUUCCCAGCCAUUGACCCCCAUUUCUCUCUCUCCCUCCCUCUUGCCCUGCCUCUUUCUCUCCACCCCUAUCUUUCCUGGAAACUCGCUUUGGGCGCGGCAGAUCGCCCAGGACCACACCGCAGCGUAACUGCAGGCCUCUCAGCGAAAAAGGGGGAAAGCAAAGACCCGGGUCUGCAUCCUCUACCUCGGCUUCCGCCCCUCUCCGGCGGAGUGGAGAUCCUAUUCAGAGGGGCCGGUCUCUCUAAAUAUGCCCCAGGUGGAAAUAUUCUGGCUGUCUGGCAACUGCAGAUGAGGAUUUCCUGUUGGGGGCUAUAAGCAGGGUCUCCGUAGUACAAAGAGAGAGGAGCUGUAGUCGUCAAAUACUCUAAAACGAUUCAGUCUAAAAUCUCCCUCCUCCUUCAUUCUCCCCAAAUAAAAACAAACAAAAUCAC
Molecule: small RNA, 433 nt
Filed under: Pongo abelii (Sumatran orangutan)
Lineage: Eukaryota; Metazoa; Chordata; Mammalia; Primates; Hominidae
Description: processed transcript
Source: RNAcentral